AUGAACGCUGGCGGCGUGCCUAAUACAUGCCAGUCGCGCGAACAGACGAGGAGCUUGCUCCUCUGACGUUAGCGGCGGACGGGUGAGUAACACGUGGAUAACGUACCUAUAAGACUGGGAUAACUUCGGGAAACCGGAGCUAAUACCGGAUAAUAUAUUGAACCGCAUGGUUCAAUAGUGAAAGACGGUUUUGCUGUCACUUAUAGAUGGAUCCGCGCCGCAUUAGCUAGUUGGUAAGGUAACGGCUUACCAAGGCAACGAUGCGUAGCCGACCUGAGAGGGUGAUCGGCCACACUGGAACUGAGACACGGUCCAGACUCCUACGGGAGGCAGCAGUAGGGAAUCUUCCGCAAUGGGCGAAAGCCUGACGGAGCAACGCCGCGUGAGUGAUGAAGGUCUUCGGAUCGUAAAACUCUGUUAUUAGGGAAGAACAAAUGUGUAAGUAACUAUGCACGUCUUGACGGUACCUAAUCAGAAAGCCACGGCUAACUACGUG
This 496-nucleotide ribosomal RNA is filed under the name uncultured bacterium. RNAcentral's name for it is "partial 16S ribosomal RNA". It matches the Rfam family "Bacterial small subunit ribosomal RNA", at positions 29 to 507 of the family's 1533-position model. The record is from RNAcentral.